AGAGGCCUCUCUCUUAAUGAAAAAGAACUUUCUCGGCAUCCGCCAGGCUCAGCCGUUCACCCGCACAUCAGGCUUCGAUAAUGGAGACCGCCUGGCUCUCCUGAACUCAGGGCAGAGCCGCUGCUAAGCUGGUGUUGGUGUGUGCUGCAGCUUUUAGGCCCAGACACAGAUGUCCAUUCUCACAGCCCUGUGAGCACAGGUCUGUCUGGUGAAAGCGGGGAAAGGCCCUUCCCCUCCACACCUGGGAGUCUCCAGGAGAGGGAAGCUUCUGUGACCGUUUCCUGGUCAGGUUGGGCUGCCCCAGAAGGCAAGUGUCAACAGUACUGGCAUUUCCAGCACGUGACAAUGCACAGAUGGUUUUCCAAGCGCUUUCACUGACUCCGCUGAGCCCUCCCGGCAGCCCCAGGAAGUAGGCGGAAUCAGACUGUUAGUUCUGAGACGACACAGCUGGAGCUCAGACGAUGGUUAAAGGGCCCCAGUUCCACCAGCUAAUAGGAGGUGGUGCAGGUGCGAGAGAAGGCGCUGGGAUGACUGUCCUGCUGAAGAAGCAACUGGGUUUGGACGCCAUGGAGUCAGGACCCCGUCACAGUUCCAUCCCUAGGUGUCCGGGUGAUGUGGACGUGGCCCUUUCAUCCAAGCCUCGACUGUGGGAUACACAAGCUAAGGAAGCUGGAUGCCAAGGGGCCCUGGGGCAGAAAGAUCAUCAUCAGCCUCCGAGCAGGUACUGACGCAAGAUAAAGCCACCAGCAAGCCAAAGAUACCAAGAAGCAAAAACCAAGUCUUUUUAGAGGAAGCUGUUCUGCAGAAGAAUCCAGAGAUGUGCAGAUAAGUGGAGGCCAGAAACCAGAAACCACAAAGUCCAAAAACAGAUGAAAAAGCCUGAUGACUUCCCAGAUCCCAUGGCUCCAACUCCUACACUUGAGGUGCCUGAAAUUCCCCUGGAUCCUGCCCAAAAAGCCCUUCUUUAAAUGGAACUAGCCUGCUUUUCUGUUCACUGCAACGA
Molecule: long non-coding RNA, 1003 nt
Organism: Mustela erminea (ermine)
Lineage: Eukaryota; Metazoa; Chordata; Mammalia; Carnivora; Mustelidae
Exons: 3
Source: RefSeq, a predicted model, not a curated record